Molecule: ribosomal RNA, 465 nt
Filed under: uncultured bacterium
Lineage: Bacteria
Description: bacterial SSU rRNA
Rfam family: Bacterial small subunit ribosomal RNA
Source: RNAcentral
CCUACGGGCGGCACCAGUAGGGAAUCUUCCGCAAUGGGCGAAAGCCUGACGGAGCAACGCCGCGUGAGUGAAGAAGGUCUUCGGGUCGUAAAACUCUGUUAUUAGGGAAGAAUAAAUGUGUGAGUAACUAUGCACGUCUUGACGGUACCUAAUCAGAAAGCCACGGCUAACUACGUGCCAGCAGCCGCGGUAAUACGUAGGUGGCAAGCGUUAUCCGGAAUUAUUGGGCGUAAAGCGCGCGUAUGGGGUUUUUUAAGGCUGAUGUGAAAGCCCACGGCUCAACCGUGGAGGGUCAUUGGAAACUGGAAAACUUGAGUGCAGAAGAGGAAAGUGGAAUUCCAUGUGUAGCGGUGAAAUGCGCAGAGAUAUGGAGGAACACCAGUGGCGAAGGCGACUUUCUGGUCUGUAACUGACGCUGAUGUGCGAAAGCGUGGGGAUCAAACAGGAUUAGAUACCCCGGUAGUC